This 497-nucleotide ribosomal RNA is filed under the name uncultured bacterium. RNAcentral describes it as "partial 16S ribosomal RNA". It matches the Rfam family "Bacterial small subunit ribosomal RNA", at positions 28 to 507 of the family's 1533-position model. The record is from RNAcentral.
GAUGAACGCUGGCGGCGUGCCUAAUACAUGCCAGUCGAGCGAACGGACGAGAAGCUUGCUUCUCUGAUGUUAGCGGCGGACGGGUGAGUAACACAUGGAUAACCUACCUAUAAGACUGGGAUAACUUCGGGAAACCGGAGCUAAUACCGGAUAAUAUUUUGAACCGCAUGGUUCAAAAGUGAAAGACGGUCUUGCUGUCACUUAUAGAUGGAUCCGCGCUGCAUUAGCUAGUUGGUAAGGUAACGGCUUACCAAGGCAACGAUGCAUAGCCGACCUGAGAGGGUGAUCGGCCACACUGGAACUGAGACACGGUCCAGACUCCUACGGGAGGCAGCAGUAGGGAAUCUUCCGCAAUGGGCGAAAGCCUGACGGAGCAACGCCGCGUGAGUGAUGAAGGUCUUCGGAUCGUAAAACUCUGUUAUUAGGGAAGAACAUAUGUGUAAGUAACUGUGCACAUCUUGACGGUACCUAAUCAGAAAGCCACGGCUAACUACGUG